GUUUUAAUAGUUUAAAAGAAAAUAUAAAUUUUGUAAAUUUAAGAUAAUAAUUUAUUUUAAAACU
RNAcentral lists this transfer RNA (64 nucleotides) under Gaeana maculata. Its description in RNAcentral is "tRNA-Thr". The record is from RNAcentral. Lineage: Eukaryota; Metazoa; Arthropoda; Insecta; Hemiptera; Cicadidae.